Molecule: small nuclear RNA, 96 nt
Filed under: Jaculus jaculus (lesser Egyptian jerboa)
Lineage: Eukaryota; Metazoa; Chordata; Mammalia; Rodentia; Dipodidae
Source: RNAcentral
AUGCUCAACUUAGGCAGCACAUAUUGGAACAAUACAGAGAUUAGCAUGCCUCUGUGCAAAGAUGACAUGUAAAUUCAUGAAGCGUUUCAUAUUUUA